AGCGAACGCUGGCGGCAGGCUUAACACAUGCAAGCCGAGCGGGCAUCUUCGUGGUGUCAGCGGCAGACGGGUGAGUAACGCGGGGGAACGUGCCCUUCGGUUCGGAAUAACUCAGGGAAACUUGAGCUAAUACCGGAUACGCCCUUUUGGGGGAGGGUUUAUCUGCCGAAGGAUCGGCCCGCGUCUGAUUAGCUGGUUGGUGAGGUUACGGCUCACCAAGGCGACGAUCAGUAGCUGGUCUGAGAGGAUGAUCAGCCACACUGGGACUGAGACACGGCCCAGACUCCUACGGGAGGCAGCAGUGGGGAAUAUUGGACAAUGGGGGCAACCCUGAUCCAGCCAUGCCGCGUGAGUGAUGACGGCCUUAGGGUUGUAAAGCUCUUUUCUCCGGGACGAUAAUGACGGUACCGGAGGAAUAAGCCCCGGCUAACUUCGUGCCAGCCGCCGCAGUAA
Molecule: ribosomal RNA, 453 nt
Filed under: uncultured bacterium
Lineage: Bacteria
Description: partial 16S ribosomal RNA
Rfam family: Bacterial small subunit ribosomal RNA
Source: RNAcentral